UACGUAGGGCGCAAGCGUUAUCCGGAAUUAUUGGGCGUAAAGAGCUCGUAGGCGGUUUGUCGCGUCUGCCGUGAAAGUCCGGGGCUCAACUCCGGAUCUGCGGUGGGUACGGGCAGACUAGAGUGAUGUAGGGGAGACUGGAAUUCCUGGUGUAGCGGUGAAAUGCGCAGAUAUCAGGAGGAACACCGAUGGCGAAGGCGGGUCUCUGGGCAGUAACUGACGCUGAGAAGCGAAAGCGUGGGGAGCGAACAGG
RNAcentral lists this ribosomal RNA (253 nucleotides) under uncultured bacterium. RNAcentral's name for it is "partial 16S ribosomal RNA". It matches the Rfam family "Bacterial small subunit ribosomal RNA", at positions 524 to 776 of the family's 1533-position model. The record is from RNAcentral.